Molecule: long non-coding RNA, 2577 nt
Filed under: Manihot esculenta (cassava)
Lineage: Eukaryota; Viridiplantae; Streptophyta; Magnoliopsida; Malpighiales; Euphorbiaceae
Description: long non-coding RNA (MESC_LNC010494)
Source: RNAcentral
UUGGCCAAUCACAAUGUCCAAUAUGCGUAUGUUUGACAAGACAUGAUAAGUGUCGAACAUACACAUAUUCCAUAGUUAUACUAUCGAACAUGUGCAUGUUCAUGUGUACGUUCGAUAAUAAUACAAGAGUAUAAACAUGUCAAACUUGUUUUCUCUCCUCACCCUUAUUUGGAAAAACAAAGCUCCGGGAUUGCUUCCUGGUUUGAUCAUGGGUAGCUCUGAAUAAGGCUGUAGAAAUGGAACUUAUAUACAUAUAUUAUGUUGAAACUAAUGCAGGAAGCAGUGAAUGUGUCACUUGGAAACUUGCUGACUUACCCAUUUGUGAGAGAUGGGUUGGUGAAGAAAAGUCUAGCAUUGAAGGGUGGCUACUACGAUUUCGUUACCGGAAGUUUUGAGCUCUGGGGGCUUGAGUUUGGCCUCUCUCCCCCUCUAUCUGUAUGAACAUACCAACCAUUAUCUGUGUCACCAUUCUCUUUCCCACCAGAUCAUCAUGUACUAAAUGAGCUAUAAUCUGCAAUAAACACUAAAUGGAGAUCAUCAGCAGCUCCUUUUACUUGUAAACUAUGCAUUGCAGAUUGGAUUUUUUUACUUGAUUUCUGUAUCAUGAUUAAUACUCUAAAUAGACUUUAUUCACUACUGCAUUUUUUUGCUUCUUUCUUCCUUGUUAGGUUAAAGAUGUGGCCACCAUACUUCAUUGGAAGCUCUAGGGCAUUGCAUACAGGUCAUUCAUUCCUGCUAAGAUGAGGACACUCUCUUCUUUUGUUUCUUUGAAAUAAUAUAUGAAAUGGGUUUUGUUGAUUAAGACCCUUUUAUCAAGAACUCAGGUCAUGUUUUCUUCCUUCUUCAGCAUCCAACUUAGUCAAUUAUAUACUUACUACAAACUAAUGAUUUGCCACAUGUUAGUCUUUUAAGCUUAUCUUUUUAAUUAGCAUCAUAACCAAAAUUUAUUGACCUAAGAGACUGAUAAUACUAGAGAAGAUUCAGAUUCUCGGACUAGUUUAACUCCAUAUCAGUUCAAUUAUACAAUAUAUUAGCUAUCCACAAUAUUUUGAAUUUCACAUCGGUUUAGAAUAGAAAAUAAUAGUGUGUUGCUUAUAAGAGUUUUAGCCGCUUUUCUCUUUUAGCUAACUUUUGCUGUGAGAUUCACAUAUCAAAAAUAAUUUUUUUUUGAACUGAGAUUUGAUUCAAAUUUUAUGAAAGAGAAUAAUUUUUAAUAAUCUAUUUCUUUAACCUUUGAAUACUAAUAUUUUGACUAAUUUAAAAUAUCAAACUCUACUUUAAAAAUAGUUGCGAGCAGUGCCAUUAUGUUUAAAAGUGUUUCCAAUGUACUGUUAUAGUUCAAGCUCCCUAAAGAUGAAACAUGCGCUAAAUAUUCUAUGGCACAACUCUUUUUGUUUGUUUUGUCUGUCUGGUCUUGUGUAGUUUGUUGGGAGAAAUGCAAUCUUAAAGUAAAAGAUCUAAUAUUCUAACUCAUCAAUUAUGAAGUACAAAGGACUUAAUUUAAGGAAAAAACAUGUAAUGAAGUGCUUUUUUUGGCAAGGGUAUAUUAGCCUUAGUGUUCUAUUUUGUUCCUCUUGAAUUUAAGACCAGAAAAUUCAGCUUCAACCAUCUUGAAAAGAUUCAUGACAAAGCCUUUAGUAAGAUGCCUUCACUGUGAUCACUGCAUUGGCUUUGCUCGGAGAAGAUUAUCAUUAUGAGAGAAUUCAAUUCAAUUCUUUUAAAAAUUCAUUUCUUACAAAAAUGAAUAAACGGAGGGAGGGUAAACUCAUUUACAAUUGUAAUGAGUUCUAGAGAAUCAUCAUUGCAUAACUUGAAGGCCAGUUCAUGUGUAUCUGAGACUUGAUUGGCUUUCAGAAUCCCAACAUCAAUAUAAAUUUUGAUAAGUGGUUGUUGUACCUCCAUUGAAUACUAAAUUUGUAGCCUCGGAGAUUGUUGAACUAGAAACAGCAACCCUGCUACUUUGCUGUUUGAUGCUAAGCCUGGCAGCUCUUUGCUCAGAUGUAUCCACUUGACAACUUUUGGGGAUAAACUUCAUAUUGGCCAACCAAGCCAACACCCAUACCAAAAUACCAUUUAUUAUAUUUAUAAAGUAAAUAUAUAAUUAAUUUUAUUCUACUAGGUUUAUUAUAUAUAAUAAAAUAUAUAAUUCUACUAUAUUUAUUAAAAUAUAAAAAAUUAAUUUAAAAUUAUAUUUAACAUCUCAAUCAUUAAAAAUUCUAAAUUUCAGUAAUUUUUUAGCCGCGUACAAAAUUAUGAGAAGCACUUUUCAACCUUAAAAAAUAGCUCAAAACAUGUUAGGGAACUUCCAAUUCAUUGGUAUUUUAUAUAUCAUGAAUACUAAUGAUUCAAAUGGGAAAUAAAAUUUCAUGCAAAGAAAAUUGAUAACAAGAUUUAUAGGAUAAAUCUCUUAGUUCUAUAUAUAAAUAAAUGCUUUGAUAAUCAACCACCUACCCAGCUUAUGCAUAUUGAAAUAUUAUUUUGUACAUUGAAAGAUAAGAAUGUCUAAUCGUAUGUUUAUGAAACAAUAUCUAAUACUCACACCAUCCCACAAUGGCUGUAGUUUAAAAUUAAUGCACU